This 599-nucleotide ribosomal RNA is filed under the name Geastrum sp. TNS KH-JPN10-712. RNAcentral describes it as "eukaryotic LSU rRNA". The stretch from base 214 to 368 matches the Rfam family "5.8S ribosomal RNA". The record is from RNAcentral. Lineage: Eukaryota; Fungi; Basidiomycota; Agaricomycetes; Geastrales; Geastraceae.
ACCUGCGGAAGGAUCAUUACUGUAAGGGAACAAUGGAGUCUUGAGACUGCGCUUCAACAAUGAAGUGUGUGCUCGACUCUUAAUACUCUUCAUCCACACACACCUUUUGUGCACCAUGUGGGGGGACACCUCCAGGUGUCUCCCCCUUCUUUUUGAUAAUAACAACCAAGUUUUAUGCAUGGCUUUUAUUUGACUCUAUGGAGUUAAAAAAACAACUUUCAACAACGGAUCUCUUGGCUUUCGCAUCGAUGAAGAACGCAGCGAACGUGCGAAACGUAAUGUGAAUUGCAGAAUUCAGUGAAUCAUCGAAUCUUUGAACGCAUCUUGCGCUCCUUGGUAUUCCGAGGAGCAUGCCUGUUUGAGUGUCGUGAACUACUCUCAACCCUCACUCUUUUUGUGAUGGGGGUUGGAUAUGGAUGCUGCUGUGGGGCAACACGGCUCGUCCUAAUUGCAUUAGCGAUCUAUCCUGGGUCACACAAUGUGAUAAAAAAGAAAGCAUUGUUGGGGUUCGGGUCGAGAUGGCUUCUAACUGUCGAAAGACGAAACAUAACAUGUCAUUUGACCUCAAAUCAGGUAGGAUUACCCGCUGAACUUAAGCA